Molecule: ribosomal RNA, 372 nt
Filed under: uncultured organism
Description: bacterial SSU rRNA
Rfam family: Bacterial small subunit ribosomal RNA
Source: RNAcentral
CGUAGGUGACGAGCGUUAUCCGGAUUUAUUGGGCGUAAAGCGCACGCAGGCGGCUGAUUAAGUCUGACGUGAAAUCUCUCGGCUUAACCGGGAGCGGUCGUUGGAAACUAAUCGGCUUGAGGCGAUGAGAGGGGUGUGGAAUUCCCGGUGUAGUGGUGGAAUGCGUAGAUAUCGGGGGGAACAUCAGUGGCGAAAGCGGCACCCUGGCAUUUGCCUGACGCUCAUGUGCGAAAGCGUGGGGAGCGAACGGGAUUAGAUACCCCGGUAGUCCACGCUGUAAACGAUGAAUACUAGGUGUGGGCAGUCUCAAAAUUGUCCGUGCCGAAGCAAACGCGAUAAGUAUUCCGCCUGGGGAGUACGGCCGCAAGGCUA